Molecule: non-coding RNA, 754 nt
Organism: Bactrocera oleae (olive fruit fly)
Lineage: Eukaryota; Metazoa; Arthropoda; Insecta; Diptera; Tephritidae
Source: RefSeq, a predicted model, not a curated record
GAUUUGGGGCUUCUCCUCUUCGCGGUCGCUAUCUGAGCUAUGGUCGUCGAAAUCAACUUUUUGACGCUAAAGUUUUCCACAUUAAUUUUUUCAAUCCAGCAAAGCGCUUCUAAUAAUUACCUUGGUUUCAACAGUUGGCCCCUCUUUAUACCCGAUUUGUGACUUUAACUUGGCUAGAAAACUCGGAUCUUGUGGUUUAACAUACGAUAUAUUACGCUUUCCAGACAUAAUUGGUACACUCCCUCUUUACCAAUCUACGCACGUUUUAACAUGCAGUGACACACAAGUUUAAAAUGACAUAAAACAUUCAAAAAUACACUUGCAUUCACAAUCUUUCGGAUAUAUAAUAAAAUAACGAAUCAAAACAAAUACGCUAAAAUCUUCACAAUAUAAUAAAAUACGCGGUAACUUCUAUACAAACGCUCACGUUUUGCCGCUAAUUUAAUGACAUCUUCGACUCAUGAUCGGAAAACAGGGUGGACAACCAGAUAAACAAAAAAAUAUUAAUCAUAUACAUAUGUAUAUAGAAAUUUAUAGUAAUCUAGCAACUCCGUGAAGGCGAAACUUGAGGCAAAGCGUAAAUGUGAAUUUUGGCGAAGCAAAACAAAGCACGAAAUCAGGACAGCAUGUCAUACAAAAUGCAAAACAAGAUAUUUAAUCUUGUAGAUGCAUACAGUGGUGGGCGAAUAAAUGUUAUGCAUGUAUUAUAUAUGUAUAUCUAGUGUAUGCUUAAGUAAAUAAAGUACAGUUACUA